UGGCGUCGUCUUCAUCUUCAUCAUCAGAGGUAUCUGAAAGAAGAAGUAUACCCGGAGCAUCGUUUGUAUCUGAUGUUCAAACUUAUUUGACAAGAUUAGGUCUUGAUGUCGUUUCUUCCUUGGCAUUUCUUCAAGAAAGGCGAAAUUUCCCGGUAUCGAGAAGUGUUUGGAUAUAGUUGCUACUUUGCAGGCUAAGAUGGGUACUGGUGAGGAACUAAUAGCCGAUUUUGAAGUUUCAGAAGGCACGCAUAGAGAAGUCAGACUCUAUAUGUGUGUGGCUGGGAGUAAGUGUCAUGCUGGAAUACACAAGUGAAGAGGUCCGCUUAUUGAGAAUUUGCAUAUCAAUAAUACUGCUUCUUUUCUUCUUUUAGCAGUACAUCAAUACUAGUGUACAGGAUAAAAAAUGAUUAUGUUCUUUUUGACGAAAUGUCACUCUUCUGUACCCUUAAACUCGUAAAUGUUAGCAUGUCCUCGGAGUAAACAUUCACACCAGAAAGUUGGCUUUGGUUUGUAUUCUA
Long non-coding RNA from Papaver somniferum (opium poppy), 518 nucleotides. RefSeq lists it as uncharacterized. The transcript has 3 exons. NCBI's taxonomy places the organism in Eukaryota, Viridiplantae, Streptophyta, Magnoliopsida, Ranunculales, Papaveraceae. The record is from RefSeq and is a predicted model, not a curated record.